RNAcentral lists this ribosomal RNA (279 nucleotides) under uncultured bacterium. RNAcentral describes it as "partial 16S ribosomal RNA". It matches the Rfam family "Bacterial small subunit ribosomal RNA", at positions 506 to 784 of the family's 1533-position model. The record is from RNAcentral.
UGCCAGCCGCCGCGGUAAUACAGAGGGUGCAAACGUUGUUCGGAAUUACUGGGCGUAAAGCGUAUGUAGGCGGCUAUGUAGGUCGGAUGUGAAAGCCUUUGGCUCAACCAAAGAAGUGCAUUCGAAACCACAUAGCUAGAGUGUUGGAGAGGAAAGUGGAAUUCCUGGUGUAGAGGUGAAAUUCGUAGAUAUCAGGAGGAACACCGGUGGCGAAAACGGCUUUCUGGACAAACACUGACGCUGAGAUACGAAAGCGUGGGGAGCAAACAGGAUUAGAUA